UGCGCCACAGCCUGCUGGGCGGGACCAUGUGUGGCGUUGAUGCUAACGAGUUAAUAUGGCCACCGCUGCUUUUCUGAAAUUGAAUGUUCCCAGGGUGAGUGACAGCCUCCCGCCUCUCCAGGAGGCUCACAAGGACCAGCAGAAACUUACAGGAUAAGCUGGCAUAAUUAAAUUACCAGCCUUUUACAGAUUGUGCCACUGAUGUUUACUUACAUACUGAAGUCACUCACUUGUGCCCAACUCUUUGCGAUGCCAUGGACUACAGCCUACUAGGCUCUUCCAUCCAUGGGAUCUUCCAGGCAAGAGUACUGGAGUGGGGUGCCAUAUCCUUCUCCUUACUUACGUAAGUUCCUAUUAAUAUGCUUGGUGUUAUGUAUAGG
This 380-nucleotide long non-coding RNA is filed under the name Capra hircus (goat). Its description in RNAcentral is "lncRNA (ENSCHIG00000007004.1)". The record is from RNAcentral. Lineage: Eukaryota; Metazoa; Chordata; Mammalia; Artiodactyla; Bovidae.